GCAAAGUUGGUUUAGUGGUAUAAUUGCCGCCUGCCAUUUACACAUACCGACAUUCGUUGGUAUACAUCUAGUGCGCGGCAGACCCGGGUUCGAUUCCCGGACUUUGCA
Non-coding RNA from Paraphysoderma sedebokerense, 108 nucleotides. The record is from the annotation of a GenBank genome assembly. NCBI's taxonomy places the organism in Eukaryota, Fungi, Blastocladiomycota, Physodermatomycetes, Physodermatales, Physodermataceae.